This 2020-nucleotide long non-coding RNA is filed under the name Ananas comosus (pineapple). RNAcentral describes it as "long non-coding RNA (ACOM_LNC016094)". The record is from RNAcentral. Lineage: Eukaryota; Viridiplantae; Streptophyta; Magnoliopsida; Poales; Bromeliaceae.
UAGGCUGAUGGGUGGGUGAAUGAAUCUGCGUCUAUCUGUUGGGAAAAAUUCUAAAAUGCAAUAGGUAUAUUAAUGGCGUGGUGAUGCGACCUCAACUUUCCUUUUUAAUAGUUUUCUUUUAAUAAACAAGUUCAAAUUUAAAUAUCUUGUUAUUUAGGAAUAUAUUUAGGAAUAGGCAGUUAUUUUGUUUGGGAAUAUAUUUAUUAGGUAUGAUUAGGAGUAGUUUAAGGAUUUGGACUCUAUAUAAUGUUAUCCGGAAUUACAAGAAAUAAGAAAGUAAUAUUGUCUCUUUUUCCUCAUAUCUUGUCUUCUCUUUCUACCUCUUCUCUCUACUUCUUUACUUCUCAAUUCUUUAGGAGGUUCGAUCCCCUCGAAGUGAUCGUUUAUCCCUAUUGAUACGGUAGGACCGUAUCAUUUGGUAUCAGAGCUUGUAUGGUCCUGACUCGAGCCAAAAAAGAAUCCUUACGAAAGAUGGACGGGGAGUUUGUACGACGGGAGGAAAUGAACAAUAUUGAUACUCGAUUGAACAAACUGGAGACCGAGGUAAGAUCCAUUAGCGAUUCUAUUAACGAUCUUAAAAAUUUAAUUAUCGCUAUGAAUACAAAGAUAGAUGUGCGACCGCAAGCACCGUCCGAAAAUACAUCCGCCGCAAGUUCCGAUAAAAGUCGUCCCCUUCUUCCUACUCCGUUCAAGGAAGGAACAUUGAUUCCUACUAUGGAGAACUCUAUGAUGGUGAUACCUCGUGUCACAAGACUGGAGUUUCCCCGAUUUGAGGGCGAGGAUCCAACUGGAUGGGUGUAUCGAGCAGAGCAAUUCUUUAAAUUUAAUCAAAUACUGGACGCGCAAAAAGUUCCACUUGCAUCGUACCAUAUGGAGAAGGAAGCAUUGCAAUGGUUUCAAUGGUUUGAGAAAAGCAGUGGAGUUGUAGCGUGGACAAAUUUCGUAGAAGCACUCUGCACUCGUUUUGGUCCAACCAUGUAUGAAGAUUAUAUGGGUGAAUUAUCAAAAUUACAACAAGGACCUACUCAGAGUGUUCGUGACUAUCAAGCUCGAUUCGAAAUGCUAGCCAAUCGCACUUCAGGACUAACUGAGGCAUUUUUCAUAAGUUGCUUCGUUAGUGGGCUGAGGGAGGACCUAAAGCAUGAUGUCCGAGCCUUCCGACCAACUUCUAUGUCAGCAGCCAUCGGUCUUGCUCGUCUACAAGAGGAAAAGUUGAUAGCUCAACAUCGUAUUAUAAAUUCUAAGCCUUCUCUUUUGUCUGCCUCUACAACACCAAUGUCUAAUGAGACGCUUCCACCUAUAAAGCGCCUCACACCGGCUGAAGCGAAAGUAAGAAGAGAUCAAGGCCUUUGCUACAAUUGUAAUGAAAAAUAUAGACCCGGACAUCGAUGCAAAUCAAAGCAACUAUUUUUAAUCGAGGCCGAACAUGAUGAAAAUAGAGAAGAUGAUAUAAAAGGAUUAGACAAGCUUGAGGAUUUUCCACCUUGAGGACAAGGUGGCUUUCGAGGGCGGAGGAGAUGAUGCGACCCCAACUUUCCUUUUUAAUAGUUUCCUUUUAAUAAACAAGUUCAAAUUUAAAUAUCUUGUUAUUUAGGAAUAUAUUUAGGAAUAGGCAGUUAUCUUGUUUGGGAAUAUAUUUAUUAGGUAUGAUUAGGAGUAGUUUAAGGAUUUGGACUCUAUAUAAUGUUACCCGGAAUUACAAGAAAUAAGAAAGUAAUAUUGUCUCUUUCUCCUCAUAUCUUGUCUUCUCUUUCUACCUCUUCUCUCUACUUUUUUACUUCUCAAUUCUUUAGGAGGUUCGAUCCCCUCGAAGUGAUCGUUUAUCCCUAUUGAUACGGUAGGACCGUAUCACGUGGCAUAACAAACCAAUCAAAUUAAUUUUUUUAAGAAUAUAUGUACCAUCAUGAUUGUAAAAAGGUAUUUUUAUUAUACUUUUGUUUGAAAAGAAAAAAUGUGAUUGACUUGUUAUUGAUGACGUAGUGCAAGUGUGUGUAGAAUUCCUCGUCUGUUGGGUUGGUUU